This 1897-nucleotide ribosomal RNA is filed under the name uncultured Gemmatimonadales bacterium HF0130_03D03. Its description in RNAcentral is "bacterial LSU rRNA". It matches the Rfam family "Bacterial large subunit ribosomal RNA", at positions 1 to 1860 of the family's 2925-position model. Lineage: Bacteria; Pseudomonadati; Gemmatimonadota; Gemmatimonadia; Gemmatimonadales. The record is from RNAcentral.
GGUCAAGUAGUUAAGUGCGCAGUGGUGGAUGCCUAGGCACGUGUCGGCGAUGAAGGACGUGGCAAGCUGCGAUAAGCCUCGGGGAGCUGCAAGCAAGCUUAGAUCCGGGGAUGUCCGAAUGGGGAAACCCGCUUGGAGUCAUAUCCAAGCACCGUAAUAGGAGCCAACCCAGGGAACUGAAACAUCUAAGUACCUGGAGGAAAAGAAAUCAAAUGAGAUUCCCUAAGUAGCGGCGAGCGAACGGGGAAUAGCCCAAACCGGCGGGUUACCGUCGGGGUUGUGGGGCCCUGAAUAACCGAGUCAAAAGUGUAGCAGAACGCGCCUGGAAUGGCGGACCACAGAGGGUGACAGUCCCGUACGCGAAACGCGAGUAGAUAAGCGUCAGGGUUCCCGAGUAGGUCGGGACACGAGAAAUCCCGAUUGAAUCUGGGGGGACCAUCCUCCAAGGCUAAAUACGAACACGUGACCGAUAGCGAAUAGUACCGUGAGGGAAUGGUGAAAAGAACGCCUGACGGCGAGUGAAAUAGAUCCUGAAACCGUGCGCAUACAAGCGGUAGGAGCCUGGUCUUAUCUACGGAUGAGACGUGGGUGACUGCGUGCCUUUUGCAUAAUGAUCCGACGAGUUACUCCUCACAUGCGAGGUUAAGGCCUUCAGGGCCGGAGCCGAAGCGAAAGCGAGUCUGAAAUGGGCGACUGGAGUAUGUGGGGGUAGACCCGAAACCGACGCGAUCUAUCCAUGGCCAGGUUGAAGCCGGGGUAACACCUGGUGGAGGACCGAACCGUUGUGGGUUGAAAACUGCUCGGAUGAGCUGUGGAUAGGGGUGAAAGGCCAAUCAAGCUCGGAGAUAGCUGGUUCUCCCCGAAAUAUAUUUAGGUAUAGCCUCAGGAAUUUUCUCCGGGAGGUAGAGCACUGAAUGGGCUAGGGGCCUUACCCGGUUACCGAACCCAAUCAAACUCCGAAUGCCCGAGAGAUGGACCCUGGGAGUCAGUGGGCGAGCGAUAAUGUCCGUCCGCGAGAGGGAAAGAACCCAGACCGUCAGCUAAGGCCCCAAAGUGUGUGCUAAGUGAGAAAGGAUGUGAAUUUGCAGAGACAACUAGGAGGUUGGCUUAGAAGCAGCCAUUCCUUUGAAGAGUGCGUAAUAGCUCACUAGUCAAGUGGAUUUGCGCCGAUAAUGGUCGGGACUCAAGCACACCGCCGAAGCUACGGAUGGAACGCCUCUUAGGAGGCGAAACAUGGUAGGGGAGCGUUCCCUGGGCGUUGAAGCGGACCUGUAAGGGCUUCCGUGGAGCGCAGGGAAGAGAGUAUGUCGGAAUGAGUAGCGAGAAACAAAGUGAGAAUCUUUGUCACCGAAAGCCUAAGGGUUCCGGAGCCAGGCUUAUCCGCUCCGGGUUAGUCGGUCCCUAAGUCGAGGCCGAAAGGCGUAGGCGAUGGGAAACAGGUCAACAUUCCUGUACCGUAAUGUGCGCGUUUGACCCUAAGGGGGGACGCAGAAGUGAAAGGACCGUCGGGUGGUGGAUUUCCGAUGUAAGGUGGUAGGCGUUGAGGAGUAGGCAAAUCCGCUCCUUUAGCCGAGAACCGAUGCCGAAGGGGCUUUCGAGCCCCGCAAAGGGUCCGUAAUCAGGCUGCCAAGAAAAGCCUCGUAGGGAAGUUCACAUUGCGACCGUACCGUAAACGGACACACGUAGGCGAGGCGAGAAGCCUAAGGUGCUCGAGUGAAUUGUGGAGAAGGAACUCGGCAAAUUGACCCCGUAACUUCGGAAGAAGGGGUGCCAGCGGUAGGUGAACCCACUUGCUGGGGGAGCCGAAACUGGCCGCAGAGAAUCGGCCCAGGCGACUGUUUAGCAAAAACAUAGGUGUCUGCUAAGUCGCUGAGACGACGUAUAGGCACUGACGCCU